UACGGGGGGAGCAAGCGUUGUUCGGAUUUACUGGGCGUAAAGGGCGCGUAGGCGGCCAGCACAAGUCAGUUGUGAAAUCUCCGGGCUUAACUCGGAAAGGUCAACUGAUACUGUGCGGCUAGAGUGCAGAAGGGGCAACUGGGAAUUCUCGGUGUAGCGGUGAAAUGCGUAGAUAUCGAGAGGAACACCUGCGGCGAAGGCGGGUUGCUGGGCUGACACUGACGCUGAUGCGCGAAAGCCAGGGGAGCGAACGGG
Molecule: ribosomal RNA, 255 nt
Filed under: uncultured bacterium
Lineage: Bacteria
Description: partial 16S ribosomal RNA
Rfam family: Bacterial small subunit ribosomal RNA
Source: RNAcentral